RNAcentral lists this long non-coding RNA (308 nucleotides) under Elaeis guineensis (African oil palm). RNAcentral describes it as "long non-coding RNA (EGUI_LNC036100)". The record is from RNAcentral. Lineage: Eukaryota; Viridiplantae; Streptophyta; Magnoliopsida; Arecales; Arecaceae.
AAAAUUCUGGUCGUAGAUCAUAUCGCGAUAUCCCAUGAUCAAACAUCCACAAUCCUAUAUAGAAUCAAUUUCAAUAAUUAGAAAGAAUACGAAUACCAUAUUUCAAUGGUUUAGAUUGGGUCCGAUCAUCUAAUUUCAUCUAAUCAAAAUCUAAUUAGGACCUAAACAAUCCAAAGUUUGACUAUCAGAUCAAAUCGGAUUCGAAGUGAUAGGACCGAGGUUUCUUCAUCGAUUUCAUAAAAUCAAGUGGAGAGAGAAAAUCAGAGAAGAGAGAAUUUAUGAGGUACAAUUCGAAUUGAUCAGGUGAC